Molecule: microRNA precursor, 86 nt
Organism: Ipomoea nil (Japanese morning glory)
Lineage: Eukaryota; Viridiplantae; Streptophyta; Magnoliopsida; Solanales; Convolvulaceae
Rfam family: mir-160 microRNA precursor family
About the family: The hairpin precursors (represented here) are predicted based on base pairing and cross-species conservation -- their extents are not known.
Source: Rfam
ACAUGCCUGGCUCCCUGUAUGCCAUCUGCAAUGUUCCACCAAAAACUGUUGGCAUCUUCAAAUGGCAUGCAAGGAGUCAGGCAUGC